RNAcentral lists this transfer RNA (84 nucleotides) under Fibrobacterales bacterium. Its description in RNAcentral is "tRNA-Leu". It matches the Rfam family "tRNA". From Rfam's summary of the family: Transfer RNA (tRNA) molecules are approximately 80 nucleotides in length. The record is from RNAcentral. Lineage: Bacteria; Pseudomonadati; Fibrobacterota; Fibrobacteria; Fibrobacterales.
GCCGGGGUGGCGGAAUUGGUAGACGCGCUAGAUUCAGGUUCUAGUAGGGGCAACCCUGUGGAAGUUCAAGUCUUCUCCUCGGCA